Non-coding RNA from Schistosoma mansoni, 78 nucleotides. The record is from Rfam. Lineage: Eukaryota; Metazoa; Platyhelminthes; Trematoda; Strigeidida; Schistosomatidae.
AGCUUUUUGAAUCUGUGCAAAGAUUUAAUCAGAUACCAACCCAUUAGGGAUGGUCAGACUUUCAAGAUAAGUAAAGGU